Oreochromis niloticus (Nile tilapia) is the source of this 963-nucleotide long non-coding RNA. RefSeq lists it as uncharacterized. NCBI's taxonomy places the organism in Eukaryota, Metazoa, Chordata, Actinopteri, Cichliformes, Cichlidae. The record is from RefSeq and is a predicted model, not a curated record. The transcript has 2 exons.
UGGGGAAGCGCUGUAUAAGGUUCCUGUUAUUGAUGUUUGGGUGGUUGACCGGGACGGAUUUUCUCCUGUCACUUUCUUGGCCUUUACAGCUUCGUCAUCUCUCAGGUGCUCUCAGUUGGUUUUUCCCUGCCAGCUGGCUUCGGCAUUACCUGGUAUAAGGCUCCGCCCUUGUCAUUUGUUGAGCAGGAAGAGUGAGUGCUUGUUUUCAUGCAGAUUAUGUCCCGGAUCCAAAUGCGCCCUACGCUAGAGUCUGUCUACACACGGCAAAGAGGUGGAGCCGUUACCAAGACAGAGAACUGAGGUAGAGUGAAAGAAAAUGUUUUUUCUAAGGUCAAAAGCAGCUGCACUUCUUCCCUUAACCACCAUUAAAACUAUUCCUGGGAAAAGGCGGCCAUGAGUUCUUCAUCUGGCCACCUGUUUGAUGUGAAGUAAAGCAAACUUUUCUUGCAGUGAAACAGUGAAAAUCUAGAGUAAAGCUAGAGAAAGUAUUUCUUAUCCCACUACUCAGAGGAGUAGUUGAUAGAAUAGUCUAUUACUAAAAUAAUCAAUGCCUGCAGCCCACUCUGCUUCGUAAUGCUAUCCUUCUUUGAAGUAGCUUCUGCCUUCUAUUCAGUCUCUCUGACCCAAUAUGAUGAGUGAAAGUAACCCAAAGUAUUUUUAGGUGGUUUCAGUGGUUAUAAUAGUUGCCGCAGAGUAAGAAGGUCCUAGUUUGAAUCGAGUGGCUAGCUGGUACCUGUCGUUUUUGAGUUUCUUCUCGCUGUGUCGGUUUGCUCCUGGUACUCUGGCUCCUCCCAACGUUCAAAGGCAUGUUUUUGAGGUUAGGAUGCGUAGCAAGUGUGAAUGUGGUUGUCUGUCUGUGGUCUACCCUCCCCCUUGCCCAGUGACAGCAGGCAGAGGUUACUUUAAAAAAUGAAAAAACUGAGGUUACCAGGUGUAAAAAUAAAUAAAGCUAACAAUAAACUA